CUACGGGGUGCACCAGUGGGGAAUAUUGCACAAUGGGGGGAACCCUGAUGCAGCAACGCCGCGUGGAGGAUGACGCAUUUCGGUGUGUAAACUCCUUUUAUAUGUCAAGAAAAUGACGGUAGCAUAUGAAUAAGCACCGGCUAACUCCGUGCCAGCAGCCGCGGUAAUACGGAGGGUGCAAGCGUUACUCGGAAUCACUGGGCGUAAAGGACGCGUAGGCGGGUUGGAAAGUCAGGUGUGAAAUCCUACAGCUUAACUAUAGAACUGCACUUGAAACUUCUAAUCUAGAGUAUGGGAGGGGGAGAUGGAAUUAGUGGUGUAGGGGUAAAAUCCGUAGAUAUCACUAGGAAUACCUAAAGCGAAGGCGAUCUCCUGGAACAUUACUGACGCUAAGGCGUGAAAGCGUGGGGAGCAAACAGGAUUAGAUACCCCCGUAGUC
This 439-nucleotide ribosomal RNA is filed under the name uncultured bacterium. RNAcentral describes it as "partial 16S ribosomal RNA". It matches the Rfam family "Bacterial small subunit ribosomal RNA", at positions 339 to 795 of the family's 1533-position model. The record is from RNAcentral.